AGAAUCAACGCUGGCGGCGUGCCUAACACAUGCAAGUCGCACGAGAAAGGGGCUUCGGCUCUGAGUAAAGUGGCGCACGGGUGAGUAACACGUGAAUUAUCUACCUCCGAGUGGGGAAUAACUGAGAGAAAUCUUAGCUAAUACCGCAUAACACUUACGGGUCAAAGCAGCAAUGCGCUUGGAGAGGAGUUCGCGGCCGAUUAGUUAGUUGGUGAGGUAACGGCCUACCAAGGCGACGACGGGUAGCCGGCCUGAGAGGGCGACCGGCCACACUGGGACUGAGACACGGCCCAGACUCCUACGGGAGGCAGCAGUGGGGAAUAUUGCGCAAUGGGCGAAAGCCUGACGCAGCGACGCCGCGUGGGGGAUGAAGGCCUUCGGGUUGUAACCCCUUUCAGCAGGGACGAAGCGAAAGUGACGGUACCUGCAGAAGAAGCGCCGGCUAACUACGUGCCAGCAGCCGC
This 464-nucleotide ribosomal RNA is filed under the name uncultured bacterium. RNAcentral describes it as "SSU rRNA". It matches the Rfam family "Bacterial small subunit ribosomal RNA", at positions 26 to 518 of the family's 1533-position model. The record is from RNAcentral.